GCGACGGUAGCUCAAUUGGCAGAGCAUUGGUUUUACUAGUUGUCCAAGAGUUGCAGGUUCGAAUCCUGCCCGUCGCU
This 77-nucleotide transfer RNA is filed under the name Rhodopirellula sp. RNAcentral's name for it is "tRNA-OTHER". It matches the Rfam family "tRNA". From Rfam's summary of the family: Transfer RNA (tRNA) molecules are approximately 80 nucleotides in length. Lineage: Bacteria; Pseudomonadati; Planctomycetota; Planctomycetia; Pirellulales; Pirellulaceae. The record is from RNAcentral.